RNAcentral lists this transfer RNA (65 nucleotides) under Lachesilla sp. LaspGHN. RNAcentral's name for it is "tRNA-Thr". The record is from RNAcentral. Lineage: Eukaryota; Metazoa; Arthropoda; Insecta; Psocodea; Lachesillidae.
GUUUUAAUAAUUUAAAUCAUAAAAUUUUGGUCUUGUAAAUCAAACAUGGGGCACCCCUUAAAACU